UGAGGAAUAUUGGUAAUGAGAUCUGGAGGAGUCUGAACCAGCCAUGCCCGCGUGCAGGACGACGCAUCUAUGGUGUGUAAACUGCUUUUAUACGGGAAGAAACCUCUCUACGCGUAGAGACUUGACGGUACCGUAAGAAUAAGGAUCGGCUAACUCCGUGCCAGCAGCCGCGGUAAUACGGAGGAUUCGAGCGUUAUCCGGAAUCAUUGGGUUUAAAGGGUCCGUAGGCGGGCUGUUAAGUCAGGGGUGAAAGUUUUCGGCUUAACCGAAAAAUUGCCUUUGAUACUGAUAGUCUUGAAUAUUUGUGAAGUAACUAGAAUAUGUGGUGUAGCGGUGAAAUGCAUAGAUAUCACAUGGAAUACCGAUUGCGAAGGCAGGUUACUAACAGAUUAUUGACGCUGAUGGACGAAAGCGUGGGUAGCGAACAGGAUUAGAUACCCUGGUAGUCCACGCCGUAAACGAUGGAUACUAGCUGUUUGGACAGAUUGAUGUUUGAGUGGCUAAGCGAAAGUGAUAAGUAUCCCACCUGGGGAGUACGUUCGCAGGAAUGAAACU
RNAcentral lists this ribosomal RNA (555 nucleotides) under uncultured Flavobacteriia bacterium. RNAcentral's name for it is "bacterial SSU rRNA". It matches the Rfam family "Bacterial small subunit ribosomal RNA", at positions 355 to 901 of the family's 1533-position model. Lineage: Bacteria; Pseudomonadati; Bacteroidota; Flavobacteriia. The record is from RNAcentral.